CCGGCGACGUCGCGAGAAGUCCACUGAACCUUAUCAUUUAGAGGAAGGCAGAUAGUCGUAACAAGGUUUCCGUAGGUGAACCUGCGGAAGGAUCAUUG
RNAcentral lists this ribosomal RNA (98 nucleotides) under Acacia triptera. RNAcentral describes it as "partial small subunit ribosomal RNA". It matches the Rfam family "Eukaryotic small subunit ribosomal RNA", at positions 1736 to 1831 of the family's 1831-position model. The record is from RNAcentral. Lineage: Eukaryota; Viridiplantae; Streptophyta; Magnoliopsida; Fabales; Fabaceae.